This 253-nucleotide ribosomal RNA is filed under the name uncultured Nocardioides sp. RNAcentral describes it as "partial 16S ribosomal RNA". It matches the Rfam family "Bacterial small subunit ribosomal RNA", at positions 524 to 776 of the family's 1533-position model. Lineage: Bacteria; Bacillati; Actinomycetota; Actinomycetes; Propionibacteriales; Nocardioidaceae. The record is from RNAcentral.
UACGUAGGGUGCGAGCGUUGUCCGGAAUUAUUGGGCGUAAAGGGCUCGUAGGCGGUUUGUCGCGUCGGGAGUGAAAACACUGGGCUUAACCGAGUGCUUGCUUUCGAUACGGGCAGACUAGAGGCAUUCAGGGGAGAACGGAAUUCCUAGUGUAGCGGUGAAAUGCGCAGAUAUUAGGAGGAACACCGGUGGCGAAGGCGGUUCUCUGGGAAUGUCCUGACGCUGAGGAGCGAAAGUGUGGGGAGCGAACAGG